This 361-nucleotide transfer-messenger RNA is filed under the name Christensenellaceae. Its description in RNAcentral is "UMGS621 sp900543915 Standard tmRNA". It matches the Rfam family "transfer-messenger RNA". Rfam says of the family: Bacterial tmRNA, also known as 10Sa RNA or SsrA, is named for its dual tRNA and mRNA-like properties. The record is from RNAcentral. Lineage: Bacteria; Bacillati; Bacillota; Clostridia; Christensenellales. RNAcentral also lists the same sequence under 1 other name.
GGGCCAGUAGAAGAUUCGAUUGCGAACGGCGGCUGAUGUAAGCAUACCGGAGGAUCCGGCUCCGUCAAAAACGGUAAAUUAAAAUUAAACGCUAACAACAAUAGCAACAACGCGGAACUCGCGUUCGCGGCCUAAGGGCUGCACGUCGCUUGCCGUCUCCCACAGGCGGUAAGGGGCGUCAUUUUUGUGGGGAACAUCGCUUUGCGUCCGGCUCUUGGCGCACUGUGAGGAUUUUUUAGGGUAAGCCUUCGCGCAGGCUGUCUUUGUCCGAAGCGCAGGCGAGAUAAAAUCAAAGACUAAGUAUGUAGAAAGCACAGGCAAACUUCGUAAGACACGGGAGCGUUACCCGUCUGGUCCACCA